GGCCACUGCUAUCGGGGUCCGACUAAGCCAUGCGAGUCAUGGGGUCCCUUCGGGGACACCGGCGAACGGCUCAGUAACACGUGGCUAACCUACCCUCGGGUGGGGGAUAACCUCGGGAAACUGAGGCUAAUCCCCCAUAGGGGAGGAGGUCUGGAACGAUCCCUCCCCGAAAGGCCUCGCGCCGCCCGAGGAUGGGGCCGCGGCGGAUUAGGUAGUUGGUGGGGUAACGGCCCACCAAGCCUACGAUCCGUACGGGCCCUGAGAGGGGGAGCCCGGAGAUGGACACUGAGACACGGGUCCAGGCCCUACGGGGCGCAGCAGGCGCGAAACCUCCGCAAUGCGCGAAAGCGUGACGGGGGGACCCCGAGUGCCCUGCCUCUGGUAGGGCUUUUCCGGAGUGUAAACAGCUCCGGGAAUAAGGGCUGGGCAAGUCCGGUGCCAGCAGCCGCGGUAAUACCGGCGGCCCAAGUGGUGGCCACUGUUAUUGGGCCUAAAGCGUCCGUAGCCGGCCCAGUAAGUCCCUGCUUAAAUCCCGCGGCUUAACCGCGGGGCUGGCGGGGAUACUGCUGGGCUUGGGACCGGGAGAGGCCGGGGGUACUCCAGGGGUAGCGGUGAAAUGCGUUGAUCCCUGGAGGACCACCUGUGGCGAAGGCGCCCGGCUGGAACGGGUCCGACGGUGAGGGACGAAGGCCGGGGGAGCAAACCGGAUUAGAUACCCGGGUAGUCCCGGCUGUAAACUCUGCGGACUAGGUAUUGCGUGCCCUUCGGGGGCACGCAGUGCCGAAGGGAAGCCGUUAAGUCCGCCGCCUGGGGAGUACGGUCGCAAGACUGAAACUUAAAGGAAUUGGCGGGGGAGCACUACAACGGGUGGAGCCUGCGGUUUAAUUGGAUUCAACGCCGGGAAUCUCACCAGGGGCGACGGCAGGAUGAAGGCCAGGUUGACGACCUUGCCAGACGCGCCGAGAGGUGGUGCAUGGCCGUCGUCAGCUCGUACCGUGAGGCGUCCUGUUAAGUCAGGUAACGAGCGAGACCCGUGCCCCAUGUUGCUACCUUCCCCUCCGGGGGAAGGGCACUCAUGGGGGACCGCCGCCGAAAAGGCGGAGGAAGGUGCGGGCAACGACAGGUCCGCA
RNAcentral lists this ribosomal RNA (1130 nucleotides) under Methanocaldococcus sp. Mc-365-70. RNAcentral's name for it is "bacterial SSU rRNA". It matches the Rfam family "Archaeal small subunit ribosomal RNA", at positions 22 to 1151 of the family's 1478-position model. The record is from RNAcentral. Lineage: Archaea; Methanobacteriati; Methanobacteriota; Methanococci; Methanococcales; Methanocaldococcaceae.